RNAcentral lists this ribosomal RNA (505 nucleotides) under uncultured bacterium. Its description in RNAcentral is "partial 16S ribosomal RNA". It matches the Rfam family "Bacterial small subunit ribosomal RNA", at positions 28 to 507 of the family's 1533-position model. The record is from RNAcentral.
GACGAACGCUGGCGGCGUGCCUAAUACAUGCAAGUAGAACGCACAGUUUAUACCGUAGCUUGCUACACCAUAAACUGUGAGUUGCGAACGGGUGAGUAACGCGUAGGUAACCUGCCUGGUAGCGGGGGAUAACUAUUGGAAACGAUAGCUAAUACCGCAUAAUAUUGAUUAUUGCAUGAUAAUUGAUUGAAAGAUGCUAUUGCAUCACUACCAGAUGGACCUGCGUUGUAUUAGCUAGUAGGUGAGGUAACGGCUCACCUAGGCGACGAUACAUAGCCGACCUGAGAGGGUGAUCGGCCACACUGGGACUGAGACACGGCCCAGACUCCUACGGGAGGCAGCAGUAGGGAAUCUUCGGCAAUGGACGAAAGUCUGACCGAGCAACGCCGCGUGAGUGAAGAAGGUCUUCGGAUCGUAAAGCUCUGUUGUAAGAGAAGAACGGGUGUGAGAGUGGAAAGUUCACACUGUGACGGUAGCUUACCAGAAAGGGACGGCUAACUACGUG